ACGCUCGACACCUACGGGAGCAGCAGUAGGGAAUCUUCCACAAUGGGCGCAAGCCUGAUGGAGCAACACCGCGUGAGUGAAGAAGGGUUUCGGCUCGUAAAGCUCUGUUGUUGGAGAAGAACGUGCGUGAGAGUAACUGUUCACGCAGUGACGGUAUCCAACCAGAAAGUCACGGCUAACUACGUGCCAGCAGCCGUGGUAAUCUGAGGCGGGCUGGCAAGGC
Molecule: ribosomal RNA, 223 nt
Filed under: uncultured bacterium
Lineage: Bacteria
Description: partial 16S ribosomal RNA
Rfam family: Bacterial small subunit ribosomal RNA
Source: RNAcentral